RNAcentral lists this ribosomal RNA (1420 nucleotides) under Klebsiella pneumoniae subsp. rhinoscleromatis. RNAcentral describes it as "bacterial SSU rRNA". It matches the Rfam family "Bacterial small subunit ribosomal RNA". Lineage: Bacteria; Pseudomonadati; Pseudomonadota; Gammaproteobacteria; Enterobacterales; Enterobacteriaceae. The record is from RNAcentral.
GCGCAGCUACACAUGCAGUCGAGCGGUAGCACAGAGAGCUUGCUCUCGGGUGACGAGCGGCGGACGGGUGAGUAAUGUCUGGGAAACUGCCUGAUGGAGGGGGAUAACUACUGGAAACGGUAGCUAAUACCGCAUAAUGUCGCAAGACCAAAGUGGGGGACCUUCGGGCCUCAUGCCAUCAGAUGUGCCCAGAUGGGAUUAGCUAGUAGGUGGGGUAACGGCUCACCUAGGCGACGAUCCCUAGCUGGUCUGAGAGGAUGACCAGCCACACUGGAACUGAGACACGGUCCAGACUCCUACGGGAGGCAGCAGUGGGGAAUAUUGCACAAUGGGCGCAAGCCUGAUGCAGCCAUGCCGCGUGUAUGAAGAAGGCCUUCGGGUUGUAAAGUACUUUCAGCGGGGAGGAAGGCGAUAAGGUUAAUAACCUUGUCGAUUGACGUUACCCGCAGAAGAAGCACCGGCUAACUCCGUGCCAGCAGCCGCGGUAAUACGGAGGGUGCAAGCGUUAAUCGGAAUUACUGGGCGUAAAGCGCACGCAGGCGGUCUGUCAAGUCGGAUGUGAAAUCCCCGGGCUCAACCUGGGAACUGCAUUCGAAACUGGCAGGCUAGAGUCUUGUAGAGGGGGGUAGAAUUCCAGGUGUAGCGGUGAAAUGCGUAGAGAUCUGGAGGAAUACCGGUGGCGAAGGCGGCCCCCUGGACAAAGACUGACGCUCAGGUGCGAAAGCGUGGGGAGCAAACAGGAUUAGAUACCCUGGUAGUCCACGCCGUAAACGAUGUCGAUUUGGAGGUUGUGCCCUUGAGGCGUGGCUUCCGGAGCUAACGCGUUAAAUCGACCGCCUGGGGAGUACGGCCGCAAGGUUAAAACUCAAAUGAAUUGACGGGGGCCCGCACAAGCGGUGGAGCAUGUGGUUUAAUUCGAUGCAACGCGAAGAACCUUACCUGGUCUUGACAUCCACAGAACUUAGCAGAGAUGCUUUGGUGCCUUCGGGAACUGUGAGACAGGUGCUGCAUGGCUGUCGUCAGCUCGUGUUGUGAAAUGUUGGGUUAAGUCCCGCAACGAGCGCAACCCUUAUCCUUUGUUGCCAGCGGUCGGCCGGGAACUCAAAGGAGACUGCCAGUGAUAAACUGGAGGAAGGUGGGGAUGACGUCAAGUCAUCAUGGCCCUUACGACCAGGGCUACACACGUGCUACAAUGGCAUAUACAAAGAGAAGCGACCUCGCGAGAGCAAGCGGACCUCAUAAAGUAUGUCGUAGUCCGGAUUGGAGUCUGCAACUCGACUCCAUGAAGUCGGAAUCGCUAGUAAUCGUAGAUCAGAAUGCUACGGUGAAUACGUUCCCGGGCCUUGUACACACCGCCCGUCACACCAUGGGAGUGGGUUGCAAAAGAAGUAGGUAGCUUAACCUUCGGGAGGGCGCUACC